Molecule: ribosomal RNA, 392 nt
Filed under: uncultured bacterium
Lineage: Bacteria
Description: bacterial SSU rRNA
Rfam family: Bacterial small subunit ribosomal RNA
Source: RNAcentral
GACGAACGCUGGCGGCGUGCUUAACACAUGCAAGUCGAGCGGUAAGGCCCUUUCGGGGGUACGACGAGCGGCGAACGGGUGAGUAACACGUGGGUGACCUGCCCUCAGUUCUGGGAUAAGCCUCGGGAAACCGGGUCUAAUACUGGAUAUGACCUCAUGACGCAUGUUGUGGGGUGGAAAGCCUUGUGCGACUGAGGAUGGGCCCGCGGCCUAUCAGCUUGUUGGUGGGGUGAUGGCCUACCAAGGCGACGACGGGUAGCCGGCCUGAGAGGGCGACCGGCCACACUGGGGACUGAGACACGGCCCAGACUCCUACGGGAGGCAGCAGGUGGGGAAUCUUGCGCAAAUGGGCGAAAGCCUGACGCAGCGACGCCGCGUGAGGGAUGACGGCC